AGUCGAACGAUGAAGCUUCUAGCUUGCUAGAAGUGGAUUAGUGGCGCACGGGUGAGUAAGGUAUAGUUAAUCUGCCCUACACAAGAGGACAACAGUUGGAAACGACUGCUAAUACUCUAUACUCCUGCUUAACACAAGUUGAGUAGGGAAAGUUUUUCGGUGUAGGAUGAGACUAUAUAGUAUCAGCUAGUUGGUAAGGUAAUGGCUUACCAAGGCUAUGACGCUUAACUGGUCUGAGAGGAUGAUCAGUCACACUGGAACUGAGACACGGUCCAGACUCCUACGGGAGGCAGCAGUAGGGAAUAUUGCGCAAUGGGGGAAACCCUGACGCAGCAACGCCGCGUGGAGGAUGACACUUUUCGGAGCGUAAACUCCUUUUCUUAGGGAAGAAAUCUGACGGUACCUAAGGAAUAAGCACCGGCUAACUCCGUGCCAGCAGCCGCGGUAAUACGGAGGGUGCAAGCGUUACUCGGAAUCACUGGGCGUAAAGGGCGCGUAGGCGGAUUAUCAAGUCUCUUGUGAAAUCUAAUGGCUUAACCAUUAAACUGCUUGGGAAACUGAUAGUCUAGAGUGAGGGAGAGGCAGAUGGAAUUGGUGGUGUAGGGGUAAAAUCCGUAGAUAUCACCAAGAAUACCCAUUGCGAAGGCGAUCUGCUGGAACUCAACUGACGCUAAGGCGCGAAAGCGUGGGGAGCAAACAGGAUUAGAUACCCUGGUAGUCCACGCCCUAAACGAUGUACACUAGUUGUUGGGGUGCUAGUCAUCUCAGUAAUGCAGCUAACGCAUUAAGUGUACCGCCUGGGGAGUACGGUCGCAAGAUUAAAACUCAAAGGAAUAGACGGGGACCCGCACAAGCGGUGGAGCAUGUGGUUUAAUUCGAAGAUACGCGAAGAACCUUACCUGGGCUUGAUAUCCUAAGAACCUUUUAGAGAUAAGAGGGUGCUAGCUUGCUAGAACUUAGAGACAGGUGCUGCACGGCUGUCGUCAGCUCGUGUCGUGAGAUGUUGGGUUAAGUCCCGCAACGAGCGCAACCCACGUAUUUAGUUGCUAACGGUUCGGCCGAGCACUCUAAAUAGACUGCCUUCGUAAGGAGGAGGAAGGUGUGGACGACGUCAAGUCAUCAUGGCCCUUAUGCCCAGGGCGACACACGUGCUACAAUGGCAUAUACAAUGAGACGCAAUACCGCGAGGUGGAGCAAAUCUAUAAAAUAUGUCCCAGUUCGGAUUGUUCUCUGCAACUCGAGAGCAUGAAGCCGGAAUCGCUAGUAAUCGUAGAUCAGCCAUGCUACGGUGAAUACGUUCCCGGGUCUUGUACUCACCGCCCGUCACACCAUGGGAGUUGAUUUCACUCGAAGCCGGAAUACUAAACUAG
Molecule: ribosomal RNA, 1370 nt
Filed under: Campylobacter coli
Lineage: Bacteria; Pseudomonadati; Campylobacterota; Epsilonproteobacteria; Campylobacterales; Campylobacteraceae
Description: bacterial SSU rRNA
Rfam family: Bacterial small subunit ribosomal RNA
Source: RNAcentral